AUGUUGGUGAAGCUAAUAGAUGGGCGAUGGCAGGUGACGCACUUUGUUUGUGACCAUAAUCAUCCGCUGGUUAACAAACCUUCGUUGUCCAAAUACUUGAGAUCUCAUCAAGGCAUCUCUCCUAAUGAAAAGGAGUUUUUGCACAUCUUGUAUAACUGCAAGUUGACUACAGGACGUAUGAUGCAUGUAAUGGCAGAGUUCUAUGGAUCUGAGAUGAUGGUGCUGUUCGGACCAAAGGCAAUAACAAAUCUGUGUACAAGUUUCCGUAGAGAUGACACAAAGGAGGGUGACAUGAUUGAGACAAUUGCGCACUUCAAGGAUAUACAAAAAAACCGAUCCAGACUUCUUCUAUAA
Molecule: ribosomal RNA, 354 nt
Filed under: Triticum aestivum (bread wheat)
Lineage: Eukaryota; Viridiplantae; Streptophyta; Magnoliopsida; Poales; Poaceae
Description: partial small subunit ribosomal RNA
Source: RNAcentral